CUACUGCAGGUUUUUGAACAUAUUAAUAUUUAUUUAGCCCAGGAUUCAUCCCACCCUACAUUUGCCUGAGGUGUCUGACUCUGGAGCACAGACAUCCUCGGGCUCCCUCUGUUGAUGAUGCAGCGAAGCACCUGCAGAAGGUGACCCAGCUCUCAGGAAAGACAUUUGAGCUAUGCAGAGAACUUGCAGCCAAAUUCCCCUGGGAGCACAGUGCAUGGACUUGGGUGUUCAAAAUGAAUAGGACACUCUGGAGAGAGAGGGGACACUUUGCUGCUGCACCACGUGUGCUGGGUUGGUCUGCCAGCACUGGAGACCUAAGGAGACACUCUCAGCAGGAUCCCAGAGCUAAGGACAGGCAGAGGAUGUGCCUCAGAGCAUGUGGUCUCUGAUGCUAAUGAAGUUGCUGCUUUGUUUGCUGCCUCCACUGAAUUUUUGUCUCUUUUCCACCAAGGACACCACUGUUCAUCCUGUGGAGCAUGAGGAACUUCAUGAAAGCUUCUUGUCAGCUUUCCCCAUGAUUUUCUUGGAUUGAGCCCAUUUUCUUCUUCUUAGAAGAACACAAAGUGGGGAGAGGUGUAUCUUCUGCACACCUGCUGGAGCAGACAUGAACAGGAGAAGACAGGUCAAGAGACAGAGUCCAGCCAAGCCUGAGGUUCCUCAGAUGUGAACAGAGAAGGGAAGAUGUGCUUUAAAAGAGAAUAAUGGAAUCAUUAAGAUUGGAAAAGACCUCUAAGAUCAUUGAGUCCAGCCACUAACCUAACACUGCCAGGGCCACCACUAAACCAUGUCCCAUAGAACCACACCUACAUGCUUUUUCAGAACUUCCAGGAACUGUUACUCCACCAUUCUCUGGACAGGCUGUUCCAGUGCUUCAGCAUCCUUUCAGUAAAGAAAUUUUUCCUAAUAUCCAAUUGAAGUCUUAAUUGGUAUCUUCUGGGCUUGUUCUUUCUCUCGUGUUCUUGAUAUCAUGGGAGUGUUCAGAGUCUAGAAUGGGGAUGAUGUGUCCUGAGUUGCUCAGACAAGUUAGACCAACACUCUGCCACAGGAGUUGUGUGCAAGGCUUUUGGGACAAUGGGAGAAGAAGCUUCUUUGAAAGCAAGCAAGCAGUUAUGUGCCUAAUGAGCCCAAAGUCUGCCUGGCAUCCCUUACUGUAACAGUCUGGCAUCUCUUACUGCAACAGCCUGCAAAUCAUUAUCGGUAUUUUUAGGUCCCUGACAGCUCUAACAACCUGGCUAGGGCUGCCUAAAUCAAUACUGAAAAUGAGAAUCAGGUCCUUUAGUCACACCAACACAAUUCAUCCUACCUGAUCUACCCCGGUGCAGUUAAGCCUUUAGCUGCAGCAACAGCUCAGAGCUGACUGUGUGCCUGGGGCAGAAGGACACACGGCCAGAAGGUGAUUUUCCUCUUCCCAGGAUGUGUAUCCAGGUCAGGACUGACAUAUGACCUGCUGGAGUGUCUUUUCUCUGUCCUUUGUGAAGCAGCCUUGAAGAUUUCAGCUGUCUCAAAGUGGGGUGUGGGUUUAAGGCUCGCAGCUUGUAGGUGGAUAAAAUUAGAUAAAGUGAACCUUCCACAUAGAUACUGCUACAAGAUUUACCCUGUGUUUUAAAAUAGUUCUGCAUAAAUAACGCUGGGGAAUGACACAACCCAGGUCUACAAGGCAUUAGCACUCUUGGGCACGCUGCACAUUUCACAGGGAAUGCUGUUAGCAGCAGGGAAAAGGCCACGCCAGACCUUCACAUCUAAGCAUGCUCAAGUUGCAGAAAAAUCUGGAUCUGGAGGAGGAUCUGAAGUUUCCUUCUGACCUUUAUCUUCACAAGGAGCCAAACCAUUCUGUCUAGCAUUGCUGAGCCUAUAGUUCCCUAACUACUUCAAUCCAGCUGCUUCAACCCUGGGUCCACCUCAGCUACAAGUGGCUCCAGAUGAGUAAUUCUGAUCUUUAUGAAUAUGCAGCUCACAGUGCUUCUGCAGGGCUCUCCUAGACCUCAUCUUCUAUACUUUGGAUUCAACAGAGAACAAUCUGGCCUCUAGUAUACCCUGGAUUAUGUUUAUAGAAGAGAUGUGGUGCAAAAUGUCCAUACAAAGAUAUUAGCUGGCAGAAUGGCCCCAGCAACAUCAACAUUUGCUAGGGAGAUGCUGCAUGGAGGGAAUGGACAUCUACUGCUGUAUUGCUGUGCCUUCCUCAGCCACCACUCUUCCUCUGAGAGAUGCUAAUGGCAUGUUUUACCCCUCACAAGUAAAUCACAUUUGUAAACAAUAAUUAAUACUAAUAAUUUUUUAAAAAUUCAACCACUGU
This is a long non-coding RNA of Taeniopygia guttata (zebra finch), 2293 nucleotides long. NCBI's taxonomy places the organism in Eukaryota, Metazoa, Chordata, Aves, Passeriformes, Estrildidae. The record is from Ensembl.